GGACGAUUAGCUCAGUUGGUUAGAGCGCCACGUUGACAUCGUGGAGGUCACAAGUUCGAGUCUUGUAUCGUCCACC
This 76-nucleotide transfer RNA is filed under the name Planctomycetia bacterium. RNAcentral describes it as "tRNA-Val". It matches the Rfam family "tRNA". Rfam says of the family: Transfer RNA (tRNA) molecules are approximately 80 nucleotides in length. Their secondary structure includes four short double-helical elements and three loops (D, anti-codon, and T loops). Further hydrogen bonds mediate the characteristic L-shaped molecular structure. tRNAs have two regions of fundamental functional importance: the anti-codon, which is responsible for specific mRNA codon recognition, and the 3' end, to which the tRNAs corresponding amino acid is attached (by aminoacyl-tRNA synthetases). tRNAs cope with the degeneracy of the genetic code in two manners: having more than one tRNA (with a specific anti-codon) for a particular amino acid; and 'wobble' base-pairing, i.e. permitting non-standard base-pairing at the 3rd anti-codon position. The record is from RNAcentral. Lineage: Bacteria; Pseudomonadati; Planctomycetota; Planctomycetia.